GCUCCGAUGGCCUAGUGGUUAGAGCGUCCGCCUCAAAUGCGCGAGGCCGUGAGUUGUAUCCCCGGUCGAAUCA
Non-coding RNA from Potamilus streckersoni, 73 nucleotides. NCBI's taxonomy places the organism in Eukaryota, Metazoa, Mollusca, Bivalvia, Unionida, Unionidae. The record is from the annotation of a GenBank genome assembly.